Molecule: non-coding RNA, 201 nt
Organism: Tinamus guttatus (white-throated tinamou)
Lineage: Eukaryota; Metazoa; Chordata; Aves; Tinamiformes; Tinamidae
Source: RefSeq, a predicted model, not a curated record
UAUCCCAUUCGGCAAAAUCCCCAUUCUGGAAGUAGAUGGAGUUAUCAUUCACCAAAGCCUGGCAAUAGCAAGAUACCUUGCUAAAGAAGCAGGUGUGGCGGGCCAGACGCCUGUGGAGCAGGCACUAGUUGAUGCUGUUGUGGACACCAUAGAUGACUUCAUGACUCUGUUCCCCUGGGCAGAGAAAAACCAGGAUGUGAG